CCCGAAAACGUGAGCACCCUGCUUUGCAAAGCAGGGGUUCAGGCACCGGGGCAGAUCCCGAAGGCACCCCAAAAAUGUGAGCAGCCGUUUGCAAAGCCUGGGUUGGGGCACGGGGGGAGAUCCCAAAGGCACCCC
Long non-coding RNA from Oxyura jamaicensis (ruddy duck), 135 nucleotides. RefSeq lists it as uncharacterized. The transcript has 2 exons. NCBI's taxonomy places the organism in Eukaryota, Metazoa, Chordata, Aves, Anseriformes, Anatidae. The record is from RefSeq and is a predicted model, not a curated record.